RNAcentral lists this small nucleolar RNA (134 nucleotides) under Zalophus californianus (California sea lion). Its description in RNAcentral is "Small nucleolar RNA SNORA70 (ENSZCAG00015010102.1)". It matches the Rfam family "Small nucleolar RNA SNORA70". Rfam says of the family: snoRNA U70 seems to be exclusive to mammals and is a member of the H/ACA class of snoRNA which contain H (ANANNA) and ACA box motifs. H/ACA box snoRNAs are involved in the conversion of uridines to pseudouridines (5-ribosyluracil) a constituent of structural RNAs (transfer, ribosomal, small nuclear, and small nucleolar). Lineage: Eukaryota; Metazoa; Chordata; Mammalia; Carnivora; Otariidae. The record is from RNAcentral.
CUGCAGCCAAUUAAGCCGAUUGUGCUCUCCGUCCAUGGGGGCCCAGUGUGCCAUGGCUGCAAACAGUAGCCUCCUUGGUAGUGUAUGCAGCCUGUUGAUUGUAUGGGUUGCCCUAAGGGACCUUGGAGACAGCC